CUAAUGCAGGGGUCUAAAGCACAUAAAAUUGGAACAAUACAGAGAAGAUUAGGCCCCUGCACAAGCAUGACACAAAUUUGUGAAGUGUUCCAUAUUAAA
Molecule: small nuclear RNA, 99 nt
Organism: Gorilla gorilla gorilla (western lowland gorilla)
Lineage: Eukaryota; Metazoa; Chordata; Mammalia; Primates; Hominidae
Source: Ensembl